GGUGAGUAACACGUGGGUAACCUGCCCAUAAGAGGGGGAUAACAUCCGGAAACGGGUGCUAAUACCGCAUAGUUUUUUUGAUCACAUGAUCGAGAAAGGAAAGACGGCCUUUGUGCUGUCGCUUAUGGAUGGACCCGCGGCGUAUUAGUUAGUUGGUGAGGUAAUGGCUCACCAAGACGAUGAUACGUAGCCGACCUGAGAGGGUGAUCGGCCACAUUGGGACUGAGACACGGCCCAAACUCCUACGGGAGGCAGCAGUAGGGAAUCUUCCGCAAUGGACGAAAGUCUGACGGAGCAACGCCGCGUGAGUGAAGAAGGUUUUCGGAUCGUAAAACUCUGUUGUCAGAGAAGAACAAGGAAAAGAGUAACUGCUUUUCCCUUGACGGUAUCUGACCAGAAAGCCACGGCUAACUACGUGCCAGCAGCCGCGGUAAUACGUAGGUGGCAAGCGUUGUCCGGAUUUAUUGGGCGUAAAGCGAGCGCAGGCGGUUCUUUAAGUCUGAUGUGAAAGCCCACGGCUC
This 521-nucleotide ribosomal RNA is filed under the name Trichococcus sp. 4SWWS3-23. RNAcentral describes it as "bacterial SSU rRNA". It matches the Rfam family "Bacterial small subunit ribosomal RNA", at positions 105 to 610 of the family's 1533-position model. Lineage: Bacteria; Bacillati; Bacillota; Bacilli; Lactobacillales; Carnobacteriaceae. The record is from RNAcentral.